RNAcentral lists this ribosomal RNA (274 nucleotides) under uncultured bacterium. RNAcentral describes it as "partial 16S ribosomal RNA". It matches the Rfam family "Bacterial small subunit ribosomal RNA", at positions 523 to 796 of the family's 1533-position model. The record is from RNAcentral.
AUACGGAGGGGGCUAGCGUUGUUCGGAAUUACUGGGCGUAAAGCGCGCGUAGGCGGAUUGAUCAGUCAGGGGUGAAAUCCCGGAGCUUAACUCCGGAACUGCCUUUGAUACUGUCAAUCUUGAGUUCGAGAGAGGUGAGUGGAAUUCCUAGUGUAGAGGUGAAAUUCGUAGAUAUUAGGAAGAACACCAGUGGCGAAGGCGGCUCACUGGCUCGAUACUGACGCUGAGGUGCGAAAGCGUGGGGAGCAAACAGGAUUAGAAACCCCAGUAGUCC